Molecule: small RNA, 422 nt
Filed under: Pongo abelii (Sumatran orangutan)
Lineage: Eukaryota; Metazoa; Chordata; Mammalia; Primates; Hominidae
Description: processed transcript
Source: RNAcentral
AGGCUCUGUGCUGGGUGCCAGGAACACAGCACUGACCACGACAAAGCCCCUGCCUUAGAAAGAUGACAUUUCAGUACAAGGACAGAGAUGGCAAAUGGACAAGCAAGUGAAUGAAUGUGUCAGGAAGCAAUGUGGCAGGGAAGAAAGACUUAAAAGCAGGGCAAGAGAAUAGAGCUGCCAUUUAGGCAGGAAAGACCUCUUGUGCUGACAUUUGAAGUGAGGGGGCAGCCAUAUUUAUGGUCAAUGUUACAUGGGAUGGCAAAGACUUAUCCUUCACUGAGGAAGGCUACCAGGUGCACCCCAGGCUGGUGGUGAUUGUGCUGAACAAAGACCGGGAAUGGGAAAAGGUGGGCAAGUGGGAGAACCAGACGCUGAGCCUGAGGCACGCCGUGUGGCCCAGGUACAAGUCCUUCUCCGACUGU